ACACGACUACAUUAGAUACCCCCGUAGUCCUAGCCGUAAACGAUACUCGCUAGGUGUCGGUCACGGUGCGACCGUUGUCGGUGCCGUAGGGAAGCCGUGAAGCGAGCCACCUGGGAAGUACGGCCGCAAGGCUGGAACUUAAAGGAAUUGGCGGGGGAGCACAACAACGGGUGGAGCUUGCGGUUUAAUUGGAUUCAACGCCGGAAAUCUUACCGGGACCGACAGCAACAUGAAGGCCAGGCUGAAGACUUUGCCGGAUUAGCUG
Molecule: ribosomal RNA, 265 nt
Filed under: uncultured archaeon
Lineage: Archaea
Description: partial 16S ribosomal RNA
Rfam family: Archaeal small subunit ribosomal RNA
Source: RNAcentral